UUUAGAUUUAAUGGAAAUUAAAUUUUUCAGUGGUUUGAUAUCAUAAACGUUCUUUACUUGAUAUGUUUUUGUCUGUACACGAUGCUUUGUUUAGCUCUCUAACCCUUUAUGUGUUGUGUUGUAAACAACAAGAUAUCGUGGCUUAAUCUGCAUCAUUUCUUGAUGGACAAAUUGGGGAUUACUCACUAAACUAUAGAUUAAGGUAAACUGUCAAGGAAAGUUAAAAUCUAAGAAAUCUGUAGUUUUAAAAUAUCUGGGGGAUAUAUCUUUUGGGCACCCCUGGUCUAUACCAUACUUGGAAG
Non-coding RNA from Pelobates cultripes (western spadefoot toad), 302 nucleotides. Lineage: Eukaryota; Metazoa; Chordata; Amphibia; Anura; Pelobatidae. The record is from the annotation of a GenBank genome assembly.